Long non-coding RNA from Eurytemora carolleeae, 190 nucleotides. RefSeq lists it as uncharacterized. NCBI's taxonomy places the organism in Eukaryota, Metazoa, Arthropoda, Copepoda, Calanoida, Temoridae. The record is from RefSeq and is a predicted model, not a curated record. The transcript is spliced from 3 exons.
AAAUUUAGAUUUUUCUCCUCUGCAACUCCAUCUUCCUCUGGAGGAGAGAAAAUAGAGAAUAGUUCUCCCAACACAGAACCGCUGAGUGGCGAGGAAAUGGAUCCAAGUAGUUCAUCAAAGCCAAGUGCUCCAUAUAGAAAAGGUCGGGGUGUUAUGGUUUGGAAUGAUGAAGAUUUUUCCCAGGUUGAUC